AACGGCUAUACCAUGCUGAAUAUACCGGUUCUCGUUAGAUCACUGAAGUCAAGCAUCAUUGAGCGCAGUCAGUACUUGGGUGGGUGACCACCUGGGAACACCGCGCGCUGUU
This 112-nucleotide ribosomal RNA is filed under the name Caerostris extrusa. Lineage: Eukaryota; Metazoa; Arthropoda; Arachnida; Araneae; Araneidae. The record is from RNAcentral.